RNAcentral lists this transfer RNA (87 nucleotides) under Halomonas daqiaonensis. Its description in RNAcentral is "tRNA_Leu_CAG". It matches the Rfam family "tRNA". From Rfam's summary of the family: Transfer RNA (tRNA) molecules are approximately 80 nucleotides in length. Their secondary structure includes four short double-helical elements and three loops (D, anti-codon, and T loops). The record is from RNAcentral. Lineage: Bacteria; Pseudomonadati; Pseudomonadota; Gammaproteobacteria; Oceanospirillales; Halomonadaceae.
GCCCAGAUGGCGGAAUUGGUAGACGCGCUAGCUUCAGGUGCUAGUGUCCUUAUGGAGGUGGAGGUUCAAGUCCUCUUCUGGGCACCA